UUGGGCAGAUUGUUUUUGAUGUACUCUUUGCAUGAUUGUGUUGUUUUAAUGAAGUGGUGCAAGAAAAAAAGAAAAAGAAAAAAAAAAAGAAAAGAAAAAAAAAAAAAAGAAAAAAAAAGAAAAAAAAAGAGAGAAAAUAAAGGUUGCACCAAGGUUGAAUUAGUAUACAUGCAUUGAGUUGUUUGAUGAUUGUUGCCCAUAGUUUAGUUGGAAGUUGCUCUUCAUAUGUUUAGAAUUCUUUGGGUGUGAUUUGAUUCGAGCAUGCACGAUAUUUGAUCUUCAAUGUUUGAGCUUAGGACCCCUAGGAUCUUGCCUACAUCAUUGAUAGUCCUUAGCCCCAUUACAACCAAAGAAGAAAGACCUCUUUGAGCCAUAAUGUGACUGCGAAAUAUCAUGACUAAUUGGAGUUUCUUC
This 414-nucleotide long non-coding RNA is filed under the name Salvia miltiorrhiza (redroot sage). RNAcentral describes it as "long non-coding RNA (SMIL_LNC013964)". The record is from RNAcentral. Lineage: Eukaryota; Viridiplantae; Streptophyta; Magnoliopsida; Lamiales; Lamiaceae.